This 611-nucleotide ribosomal RNA is filed under the name uncultured bacterium. RNAcentral's name for it is "bacterial SSU rRNA". It matches the Rfam family "Bacterial small subunit ribosomal RNA", at positions 91 to 716 of the family's 1533-position model. The record is from RNAcentral.
GAGGAUGGCGGACGGGUGAGUAACGCGUAAGGAACUUGCCUCUUGGACUGGGACAACUGUUGGAAACGACAGCUAAUACCGGAUAUUAUGAGAUUCUCGCAUGAGAAACUUAUGAAAGCUAUAUGCGCCAAGAGAGAGCCUUGCGUUCCAUUAGCUAGUUGGUGGGGUAACGGCCCACCAAGGCGACGAUGGAUAGCCGGCCUGAGAGGGUGAACGGCCACAAGGGGACUGAGACACGGCCCUUACUCCUACGGGAGGCAGCAGUGGGGAAUAUUGGACAAUGGGCCACAAGCCUGAUCCAGCAAUUCUGUGUGCACGAUGAAGGUCUUCGGAUUGUAAAGUGCUUUCAGUUGGGAAGAAGAAAGUGACGGUACCAACAGAAGAAGCGACGGCUAAAUACGUGCCAGCAGCCGCGGUAAUACGUAUGUCGCAAGCGUUAUCCGGAUUUAUUGGGCGUAAAGCGCGUCUAGGCGGAAAAAUAAGUCUGAUGUUAAAAUGCGGGGCUCAACUCCGUAUUGCGUUGGAAACUGUUUUUCUAGAGUACUGGAGAGGUGGGCGGAACUACAAGUGUAGAGGUGAAAUUCGUAGAUAUUUGUAGGAAUGCCGAUGGA